Molecule: non-coding RNA, 271 nt
Organism: Pelobates cultripes (western spadefoot toad)
Lineage: Eukaryota; Metazoa; Chordata; Amphibia; Anura; Pelobatidae
Source: the annotation of a GenBank genome assembly
CCUGUUCCUCCUUGCCCUGUUGUGGUCUUUGCUUGUUAGUAUUGAUUCUGAACUUGUGCAUUCUGGUUACGUACUCUCUGGCUUGUUAUCCGACUCUGUGACUUUCUCCUACCCUUUGACCUCGGCUUGUUUCUCGUUAUUCUGUCUUCUGGUUCCCCUUACUCGGCUUGGUUCCUGACUAUUCUUUGUGUGCUUAGUCCGGCCACUCUAAGGUCCGGUACGGCACUUUGUGUGUGUGUGUGUGUUGGCGUGUUGGGUUCCCCGAAUCGUG